UCCGGCUUACACCGGCGGUCUCCUGUAAGUGCCCGACUCUCUCGCUGGUAACACAGGACGUGGGUUGCGCUCGUUGGCGGACUUAACCGUACACCUCACGGCACGAGCUGACGACAGCCAUGCAACAAGUGUCUUCAGGUCCCUUGUGGGGAGGGCCAAAUUUCUUUGGCUUGCCAUCGAUGUCAAAUCUGGGUAAGGUUCUUCGGUUAGUAUCGAAUUAAACCACAUGCUCCACCGCUUGUGCGGGUCCCCGUCAAUUCAUUUGAGUUUCAACCUUGCGGCCGUAGUCCCCAGGCGGGAUACUUAAUGCGUUAGCUGCGGCACCGGAGGGGUCGAUACCUCCGACGCCUAGUAUCCAUCGUUUAGGGCGUGGACUAC
RNAcentral lists this unclassified non-coding RNA (378 nucleotides) under uncultured Armatimonadota bacterium. RNAcentral describes it as "uncultured Armatimonadetes bacterium contains 16S-23S intergenic spacer region". Lineage: Bacteria; Bacillati; Armatimonadota. The record is from RNAcentral.